Molecule: ribosomal RNA, 472 nt
Filed under: uncultured bacterium
Lineage: Bacteria
Description: bacterial SSU rRNA
Rfam family: Bacterial small subunit ribosomal RNA
Source: RNAcentral
UGGGGAAUUUUGGACAAUGGGGGCAACCCUGAUCCAGCAAUGCCGCGUGAGUGAAGAAGGCCUUCGGGUUGUAAAGCUCUUUUGUCAGGGAAGAAACGGUAGUAGCGAAUAACUAUUACUAAUGACGGUACCUGAAGAAUAAGCACCGGCUAACUACGUGCCAGCAGCCGCGGUAAUACGUAGGGUGCGAGCGUUAAUCGGAAUUACUGGGCGUAAAGCGUGCGCAGGCGGUUCGCCAAGUCAGGUGUGAAAUCCCCGGGCUUAACCUGGGAACUGCAUUUGUGACUGCCAGACUAGAGUGUAGCAGAGGGGGGUAGAAUUCCACGUGUAGCAGUGAAAUGCGUAGAUAUGUGGAGGAAUACCGAUGGCGAAGGCAGCCCCCUGGGCUAACACUGACGCUCAUGCACGAAAGCGUGGGGAGCAAACAGGAUUAGAUACCCACGUAGUCCCUGAGCGGGCUGGCAAGGCGCAU